GGGCCCAUAGCUCAGCUUGGUUAGAGCGUUCGGCUGAUAACCGAAAGACCUUGCGGGUGUUCCCCGAAGGGGUCGAAGUCACGAGUUCAAAUCUCGUUGGGCCCACCA
This 108-nucleotide transfer RNA is filed under the name Candidatus Freyarchaeota archaeon. Its description in RNAcentral is "tRNA-Ile". It matches the Rfam family "tRNA". Rfam says of the family: Transfer RNA (tRNA) molecules are approximately 80 nucleotides in length. Their secondary structure includes four short double-helical elements and three loops (D, anti-codon, and T loops). The record is from RNAcentral. RNAcentral also lists the same sequence under 2 other names. Lineage: Archaea; Promethearchaeati; Candidatus Freyarchaeota.